This 5330-nucleotide long non-coding RNA is filed under the name Homo sapiens (human). RNAcentral's name for it is "HSALNT0342216". The record is from RNAcentral. Lineage: Eukaryota; Metazoa; Chordata; Mammalia; Primates; Hominidae.
CCAUGCCCGGCUAAUUUUUUUAUUUUUAGUAGAGACGGGGUUUCACCAUAUUGGUCAGGCUGGUCUUGAACUUUUGACCUCAUGGUCCACCCGCCUCGGCCUCCCAAAGUGCUGGGAUUACAGGUGUGAGCCACCAUGCCCAGGCUUAGAUCUAGUAUUUUUUAAAAAAUACAUUUAUGUACCAAUACAGUGAGGUUCUGGGGAUACAGCAAUUAACAAAAGACACAUUUCCAGAACACUGAGUUUAUUUUUCAGUGUGGACCAAUGCAUGUUUUCUUCAGUUCCAACCCUGAAGCACCCCUCUACCUUAGCCAGAUCAUGCCUCUUACAUGCCAUAAUUUCCUAAUCACAUCCCGUAGUUUUCCUAAUGUUGGGAAUAUGGCCAAAGCAAAUUACAUAAUGUUCACGAAGCAUUUGAAUACAUGGAAAGGAAGUGUUUUGCUAACAUGAGGUACAUUCAGUUAGUAAAACAAGCUUCUUUUACCUGGCAAAAGAUAGGGUUACAAAAAUAGUACUUGAGGUCGGGCGCAGUGGCUCACGCCUGUAAUCCCAGCACUUUGGGAGGCCGAGGCGGGUGGAUCACAUGAGGCCAGGAGUUCCAGACCAGGCUGGCCAGCAUGGUGAAAUCCUGUCUCUACUAAAAAUACAAAAAAUUUAGCCAGGCGUGGUGGCGGGUACCUGUAAUCCUAGCUAGUCGGCAGACUGAGCCAGGAAAAUUGCUUGAAUCUGGGAGGUGGAGGUUGCAGUGAGCCAAGAUCACGCCACUGCACUCCAGCCUGGGCGACAGAACGAGACUAUCCCCCCCACCAAAAAAAUACUACUUGUGGUUUCACCCACUCCAACAAUGAACUACAGCAAAAACUUAGUACUUUAUUCAAUCUUGAGAAAGUUUCUAAUUUGUGUCAAUACUUCUAAUAUUUCUCUAGCCUGUGGCUAGAAACUUUCACUGCAAUGUUAUUCCUCUCUUCUUCUUAUAUUUCUGUGUCUCCAAGUCCUAUCACUAUCUUCUUCUGAAUGUCUCUUGAAUUUGUCUGUUCUGUAUUUUUAUACCCACUCUCUUCUUCUUGGCAUCACCUAUGCACAACUGUGCCCUCCCUGAUGGAAGCCUCCCUGGUCCACAAGACAUUUAGCCACUACAUCAAUCUUUUUUGUAUCUGUAGAGGUAAGAUCUCACUCUCUGCCCAGUCUAGAGUGCAGGGGCACAAUCAUGGCUGACUGCAGCCUCAGACUCUUGGGCUCAAGUGAUCCUCCCACCUCGGCCUCCUGAGUAGCUGGGACUAUAGGCAUGCACCACUAUGCUCAGCUAAUUUUCCUAUUUUUAAAAAAUCUCUGUAGAAACAAGGUCUCACUAUGUUGCCCAGGCUGCUCCAAACACCUGGCCUCAAGUGAUCCUCCUGCCUCAGCCUCCCCAAGUGCUGAGAUUACAGGACUAAGCCACUGUGCCUGGCCCAGAUCAAUCUUUUGAAUGCCAUUUUCAUGUUCUUAUGCAAAAACAUCAACAACAACAAACAACAACAACAAAAAUCUCUAAUGACUCUGUAUUUUACUGUGAAUCCUGAGUUUCUCCCUGGGUAUUAAGAUUUCCCAUUCCCUAACAACACAUUUAUUCCCCAUUAUUCCUCAUGGUAUAGCUUGGAUUAGCCCCUUUUACCCACCCCAGCUACCUCCCAGAGUUUAUUCUUGCUUCUUAACCCAUCAGACAAUCCCUCUCUCCUUGCUGGGCCCUAACCUACAUUCAGGGUCCAGGCCAGGCAUUUUGUCAGUGAAGCCUCACUCAAGCCAGUGUUUCCCAAACGUCAGUCUGUGAUGACAUUUUCACUAGUGCCAAAACCAAAAAAAUAAGGACAAUGUAAGCGGGGUUUUCAUAAAACGAAACUAAUUUUAAGUGGCUGUUCUUUGUUGUGAUGUUAUGUCUUUCCUGCUUUUUUCAUGUUAAAAUGUUCUUUCUUUAAUGAAAGAGGUAACAAAAAACGGUGACAGAGCAGUGACUUAGCAAAAUAAAAACUGGGCAAUAUUAUACUGAUCCCCACAUGUACAUAAAUGUUUCGACUGCUCUGGGAAUUACAACUCUAACCAUCAGUGAUCAGCUCCCUCUUUUUAAUCCUAUUUAAGAAUCAUAUAGUUUAGUAUUCAAUUACUUCCCAUACAGGUGGCUUUGUUCCCCAGCUAAGUUAGGCCCCUCUGAGGGAGGAACCAUCCAUCCAUCCAUUCAUUCAUUCAUUUUCUGGGCCAGCGUUUCGCUCUGUCACCCAGGCUAGAAUGCAGUGGCACGAACACAGCUCACUGCAGUCUCGAACUCCUGGGCUCCAGUGAUGCUCCCACCACAGCCUCCUGAGUACCUGGGACUACAGGGCAUGCACCACCACCCCUGACUAAUUUUUCAAUUUCUUGUAGGGACAAGGUCUUACUAUGUUGCCCAGGCUGGUAUCAAACUGAGCUUAAGCAAUCCUCCCGCCUCAGCCUCCCCAAGUGCUGUGCCACUUCCAAGGCCACUGUACCAGAGCCACUGAUCUGUCAAUUCUGAUACAAAUUUAGGAUAUCUUCAAAUUUGCAUUGAAGGAAAAAAAGUCACAUUUCAGUUAUAUCAACAGAUUCAAAUGCCAAAAAUGUUAAGCCCAUACAGGAGAACUGAACUCCAUUCCAUUAUCUGCAACUGAAACAAACACUUCUUUCCAAUCUUGCUCAGUAAGUUUAUGCAUACACAAGACUCACACAUGUUUCCACUAUUCAGACACCAUUAAAUGAUCAAAUGAUUUCUUCCUGCGGGGAAAACUGUCUAAGUUAACAAAACACACUUUAGCACCCACCGGCCAUGCCUAUUGGCUUUGGAGGUGGGAACAGAUCUCUGGUAAAGUGACAGUCCUGAGGUAAGUUUUCAAAACACCUGUUUGCUUAAAAUAUGGAUGUUACAGUUCAUCUUCUACAAUUGCACUAAAUUAAAAAUAAAUGACAAAAUCAUGUGAACUAUUUGCCAUCAGAAGUGUGACAGAAUUCAGAUCAUACCCCAAACGUGGCAGGGUUAGGCAGAGCUGUUGUGGCAAAAACUGUCUCUUCUGUGAGACACAACUGAGCCCCAAGGACGAGGUGGGGAUGUGCCACCUGCUGCCUGUCCCCACGGGUUCCCUGCCAGCACCAAACAUUAAUACUAUCUGUGUGAUCCUUUCUAGUCCAGAAAGCUCUUCUAGAAACACUAUUCUCUUCUUAUUCUCAUAGGAUGAGGGACAUGGACACACAGACAGAUGGAUUUUUUUCCUAAUUCAUGGGUGAAGGCAUCUCUGCUGCACCCCCAUCCCACUCUACAUUAAUGCGGCAUCAUCAUAGCUCUUUGCAGAGCCUGAAAUUAAACCCUUUCUUUAUUUGCAUUCUUCUUAAUGCCUAGCUCCACUGAAGCAAGUACUGUGUCUUUUAUUCUUAACCACUGUCUCCCCAGAGGCUGAAACAGUGCCUGGCACAUGCAGUUGACUUUAAACAUAUUUGUUAAAUGGUAUUAGGUAAUGACUUUUUUUUUUUUAACUGUGUAGUUAACCCACUAGAAUGUAAGCAUCAAGAAGGCAGACGCUGCCUUCUCAACCAUUACAUUCCUAGCACGGAAGCACAGGGCCUGGCAGAAAUUAGCGCUUGAUCAAUGUUUGUUGAAAUCAAUGGAUAACUGCCUGCUUGAAUGAAUGUAUGAAAACAACUGUUUUGCAAGCGCCACAAUGUGAUGUGUCUGACUCCUAUGCCAUGUUCACAAGGAGUCGAGAGCCUGGAAGCUUUGCACACUACUGCCUGGAAGAUCUGAUUCUUUGGAAAUAAAAUAUAUAUAUAUAUUCUGCAGGUUCAAAGCAGAAGUAUUAUUAUAAUGAGGGAGAAAUAAAGUAAUAAAGUACAUGUCAAAAAACAAGUACUAAAGUCCAGAGGGCAUUUGGAACUUUUUUUUUUUUUUUUGAGAUGGAGUCUUGCUCUGUUGCCCAGGCUGGAGUGCAGUGGCACGAUCUCAGCUCGUUGCAAACUCCACCUCCCAGGUUCAAGCGAUCCUCCUGCCUCAGCCCCCCUAGUAGCUGGGAUUACAGGCAUGUGCCACCAUGCCCGGCUAAUUUUUGUAUUUUUAGUAGAGACGAGGUUUCGCCAUGUUGGCCAGGCUGGUCUCGAACUCCUGACCUCAGGUGAUCCACCUGCCUUGGCCUCCCAAAGUGCUGGGAUUACAGGCAUGAGCCACCACACCUGGCCUGAUCGCAUUUUUUAAUUUUAGCCAUCUAGUGAGUCUACGGGGUAUCUCACCACGGUUUUGAUUGGCAUGUCUCUGAGACUUUGAUGCUGAGCAUCUUUUCAUGGGCUUAUUGGCCAUGUUGGUAGCCUUCUUUGGAGAAAUGUCUGUUCAGAUCCUUUACCCAUGUAUUAAACUGAGUUAUUUGUUUUUCAUUGUGGAGUUGUAAGGGUUCUUUAUAUAUUUUAGAGACAAGACCCUUUUCAAACAUAAUUUGCAAACAUUUUCUCCCAUGCUGUGAGUUUUCUUUUUCUUCAAGAGUCCUUUGAAGCACAGAAGCUUUGAAUUUUGAUGAAAUCCAAUUAAUCUGUUUUCCUUUUGUUGCCUGUGCUUUGUUUGUCAUAUCUAAGAUUCCAUGUCUAGACCAAAGUAUUGAAGAUUUAUUCCUGUUUUCUCCUAGGAGUUCUUGAGGUAGGAGCUCAAUUUCAUUCUUUUACAUGUGUAUAUCCACUUGUUCCAGGACCAUUUGUUGAAAAGACUAUUAUUUCCCCUGUCAAAUUAUCUUGUCAUCACUGUUGAAAAUCAACUGACCAUAAAUAUGAGGACUUAUUUCUGGAUUCCGAAGUCUAUUCUAUUGACCUCUAUAUCUACGCUACUGUCAGUACCAUUCUGUCGUAAUUACUUUAGCUUUGUAGUAAGUUUUGAAAUUGAGAAGUGCUAGUCUCCAACUUUGUUGUUGUUUUUUCAGGACUGUUUGAGCUAUUCUAGAUCUCUUGCAUUUCCAGAUAAAUUUUAAUCAGCUUGUCAAAUUCUGCAAAACAAAAAACAACAAGAAAACACCUUCUGGGAUGUUAAUAGGUACAGUGCUGCAUCUGCAGAUCUGGUUAGGGAGGACUCCCAUCUUGACAAGAGCAAGUCCUUCAAUCCAUGAACAUGGCUGUCUUUCCAUUUAGUUAGGUCCUCUUUCAUUUCUUUCCACGAUAUUUUAGAGUUUUUAGUGUACAGGUCUUAUACUUCUUUCAUUGAAUUUACUCCUAUUAAUGCUUUUUUAUACUAUUUUAAAAUAGAUUUUUAAAAUUUUUUUAUUUUCAGUAGAUUAGGGUUUGCAUAGGAUGGUGGGGCGGGGACAGGAAAUAAGGGGACC